RNAcentral lists this ribosomal RNA (497 nucleotides) under uncultured bacterium. RNAcentral's name for it is "partial 16S ribosomal RNA". It matches the Rfam family "Bacterial small subunit ribosomal RNA", at positions 28 to 507 of the family's 1533-position model. The record is from RNAcentral.
GAUGAACGCUGGCGGCGUGCCUAAUACAUGCAAGUCGAGCGAACGGACGAGAAGCUUGCUUCUCUGAUGUUAGCGGCGGACGGGUGAGUAACACGUGGAUAACCUACCUAUAAGACUGGGAUAACUUCGGGAAACCGUAGCUAAUACCGGAUAAUAUUUUGAACCGCAUGGUUCAAAAGUGAAAGACGGUCUUGCUGUCACUUAUAGAUGGAUCCGCGCUGCAUUAGCUAGUUGGUAAGGUAACGGCUUACCAAGGCAACGAUGCAUAGCCGACCUGAGAGGGUGAUCGGCCACACUGGAACUGAGACACGGUCCAGACUCCUACGGGAGGCAGCAGUAGGGAAUCUUCCACAAUGGGCGAAAGCCUGACGGAGCAACGCCGCGUGAGUGAUGAAGGACUUCGGAUCGUAAAACUCUGUUAUUAGGGAAGAACAUAUGUGUAAGUAACUGUGCACAUCUUGACGGUACCUAAUCAGAAAGCCACGGCUAACUACGUG